RNAcentral lists this transfer RNA (66 nucleotides) under Glottidia pyramidata. RNAcentral's name for it is "tRNA-His". The record is from RNAcentral. Lineage: Eukaryota; Metazoa; Brachiopoda; Lingulata; Lingulida; Lingulidae.
AUCAGGGUAGUUUAAAAAGAACGCCAGGUUGUGGUCCUGGAAGUGAUUUACUAUAAUCCCCUGGUU